AAUCAUGGCUCAGGACGAACGCUGGCGGCGUGCCUAACACAUGCAAGUCGAGCGGAGACAGUGAGUAGCUUGCUAUGAGCUAUUUUAGCGGCGGACGGGUGAGUAACGCGUGAGCAACCUUUCCCAGACAGGGGAAUAACACACCGAAAGGUGUACUAAUACCGCAUAAGACCACGGAAUCACAUGGUUCUGGGGUAAAAGAAUUAUCGGUUUGGGGUGGGCUCGCGUCCGAUUAGGUAGUUGGUGAGGUAACGG
Molecule: ribosomal RNA, 255 nt
Filed under: uncultured bacterium
Lineage: Bacteria
Description: partial 16S ribosomal RNA
Rfam family: Bacterial small subunit ribosomal RNA
Source: RNAcentral